UGCGUGUGAGACGAUUUAUGGCGUCUGAAAGAGGUUAGAGCAUUUAAAAGGUGUGUAUGGAAUAAAGGAGUGUGAAAUAUAUUUCUUCUGUGAUGAAAAGUAGGAUGUGCUAAAGUUUGAAAGUGUUUUUAAUUCAAGAAAACAAAAAAAAAGGAGUUAGAUUAGUUUGAGGAACAGGAAAUAUUGCUCUAUGUACCGGGGCUGCAGCGACAGGAAAUAGUGAACAGGAACUGUGCAUGCCCAUAUAUGGGAACUGAGUGUGUACAGAAAGAACACAGAGAGAUAGAUGAGUUAACUCUAGGCACAUGAAGCAAAUGAAGCCUUUAAGAAAAAUGCAUAUAUUACUAAUUAUAUGGUUUAGUGUGUCAAUACAGGUGGGCGUCUUUCAACUUUGCAACCUUGAGUUCAGCAGCAGAAAAGUAGAUUAAAAGAAUUGGGAGAAAAUAAGCCAGUCUUUGGCUCGAAAUUGUGCAGCUUGAGCUCUUACUUUGUCCUUCACCCGAGAAGACACGUAAAGGACAGUCAAUCGCCUGAUGAAGACCGAUAGAACAUCGUGGACUUGAAUACAGCAGGCAAACGACAGUGCCACUGAUCCAUUAACACUGAUGACGACUGACGACCAGCAGCAGCAUGUAAGAAUACUGCAACAUGUACUGUGAAAAUACAGGCUGGGCAGUUGAACAGUGGGAUAAAGAAUUGUGGAAGAGCACUGGACAUUGAGUGAUAUUUUGCCAUGCUGGGACUUAAUCUGAAAGAAAGACUGUAAAGAAACAGAGAAGAAGACAGCAGCUGAGUUGAGACUGUGUUUGCUGGAGCUUUGAAGCCCGAAUAGGACAUUGUGCAGAGAGGACCAGUGAGAGAUGAAGCUGGACGAGUUUGACUGCGAGAAUAUAGGAUAUAAUUGGAUUGAAAAUUGAAGCCUGAACUCAUGAAUUGUUUAGGGAUGUCCACUACAGCAUAACAAAGAGGGCACUCCGAACCACUUGUCUGAACACGGAGGCCAGUCCAGCCCAGCACUUCCUGAGACUGUAGUUGCUAAAACAGGAUCGGUAAAAAAGACAAAAGCGCGAGGGGUCAGGUAAAGGUGAUGAGUGUCUCAGCAGGAAUAAGGGCAUAGGGUUGAAUUAUGGUAAAGGGUCUACCAGCUCAUUCACAUUUGAUUUGUGUGACGUCAUUAAGUGUACAGGAGCUAGUAGUAGCUGGAGAGCGUAUGAGGUACGGGUCUGCAAUCACCCCAUGAUAUGCUUAGGGUAAAUUUAGUUGAUGCAAAGUCUAAGCCGCUUGCAGAAAGCUUAAUCACCAUUCUGACUGAUCAGAUGGUAACUUCGGGAACAGUAGCUCAAAAGGAACAGGAACCAAAAGGGAGAGUACUUCUGACAACAGAUUACUUUAGACUGAAGCCUAAAGAGUUGAUAAAGCGCGCCACGGGUUUCAAGGACAGUAACCUCUGGCUUGAUUGGGUGGCUCAAGAUGCUAGAGAACAACAUGUAUCUGACUGUGUUGCCUGUGCUUCAGCUAGGUCACGGUUGUUUACAGAGCCUGCACCAUUGCAUUAGAGGAUGAGUGGGGCUAUGAUUGUAUGUUACAGUUAACUAGAAGUGAAGUGACUACUGGCAACUGUACUGUGUUGUCCAGACUUUUCCCUGCCAUUUCAAAGCAGACAGCAGUGGGACCAUUUAUGCUAAAAUUAGAUAAUUACAUGUUUCAAGUUUUCUACAGAUAAUGAAAAGUACAAGGUGGGAGAGAUCGACCCAACUAGGUGUGCUGUCACACUCACAGGACGAACCACCAACAAUGUAAGCGACCCUACCACGGUAAUUGGAACAUGGGCAAGAAGUGGGCUCUACUAAUACUGUGGG
Oreochromis aureus is the source of this 1859-nucleotide long non-coding RNA. NCBI's taxonomy places the organism in Eukaryota, Metazoa, Chordata, Actinopteri, Cichliformes, Cichlidae. The record is from Ensembl.